Molecule: unclassified non-coding RNA, 228 nt
Filed under: plant metagenome
Description: partial contains small subunit ribosomal RNA, internal transcribed spacer 1, and 5.8S ribosomal RNA
Rfam family: Eukaryotic small subunit ribosomal RNA (bases 1-53)
Source: RNAcentral
GGAAGUAAAAGCGUAACAAGGUUUCCGUAGGUGAACCUGCGGAAGGAUCAUUCAUAAUAAGUGUUUUAUGGCACUUUUUUAAAUCCAUAUCCACCUUGUGUGCAAUGUCAGGGUUGGUCUCUUUUGAUCAGCCCCAAACAUCAACUAUUAUCUCAACUCUUUGUCUGAAAAAUAUUAUGAAUAAAACAAUUCAAAAUACAACUUUCAACAACGGAUCUCUUGGCUCUU